RNAcentral lists this ribosomal RNA (253 nucleotides) under uncultured bacterium. RNAcentral's name for it is "partial 16S ribosomal RNA". It matches the Rfam family "Bacterial small subunit ribosomal RNA", at positions 524 to 776 of the family's 1533-position model. The record is from RNAcentral.
UACAGAGGUCCCAAGCGUUGUUCGGAUUCACUGGGCGUAAAGGGUGCGCAGGUGGGUUGGCAAGUUUGAUGUGAAAGCCCCGGGCUUAACCCGGGAAUGGCAUUGAAAACUGCUGAUCUGGAGGAUCGGAGGGGGGACUGGAAUUCUUGGUGUAGCAGUGAAAUGCGUAGAUAUCAAGAGGAACACCAGUGGCGAAGGCGAGUCCCUGGACGAUACCUGACACUGAGGCACGAAAGCCAAGGGAGCAAACAGG